Molecule: unclassified non-coding RNA, 336 nt
Filed under: soil metagenome
Description: partial contains 5.8S ribosomal RNA, internal transcribed spacer 2, and large subunit ribosomal RNA
Rfam family: 5.8S ribosomal RNA (bases 1-120)
Source: RNAcentral
GAUGAAGAACGUAGCGAAAUGCGAUAAGUAAUGUGAAUUGCAGAAUUCAGUGAAUCAUCGAAUCUUUGAACGCACAUUUCGCCCGCCAGUAUUCUGGCGGGCAUGCCUGUUCGAGCGUCAUUUCAACCAUCAAGCCCCAGGCUUGUGUUGGGGACCUGCGGCUGCCGCAGGCCCUGAAAACCAGUGGCGGGCUCGCUGUCACACCGGGCGUAGUAGAUUUUAUCUCGCUCAGGGCGUGCUGCGGGUUACGGCCGUUAAAAAGCCUUUUUUACCCAAGGUUGACCUCGGAUCAGGUAGGAAGACCCGCUGAACUUAAGCAUAUCAAUAAGCGGAGGA